AAAUAUAUACAUUUACCUUUAAUCAUAUUAAAGCAGAUAUUGUUUGCUUGCACAGUUACCAAGAGGUCCAGAUUGCUCUGUAUCAGUCAUCUAUCCUCAUCAUCACUCCUCCAAUUUUUGUCAAGUCAUUGUUUACAGGCUGAGUUCCUGUUUCCCCAUAUAUAAUUUCUUCAGAUUUGCCAAAUGUACAUUAGCAAUCCAGGGCUGAUGAGGAACCCUAUCAUAAGAGACCUGUGAGCAUGGACUUUAUACAUAAGUGGACCUACCACAAACUAUGGCACAUGUGGGAUAGUGGGAACAUUAGAUUAAUGAGGGCUCAGAUUUCAUUUUAUAUAGGUAAUGGAGUCUCUCUCUGAUAUUUUCAAACUUUUUUCUAACACCACGGCUGCAUGGAUUGGAAUGUGAGAGGACAGAUGGUUUUAUUAAGCAUUAGCUUGUGGAGCUAAGCAUGGGUAGGUGUUAUUACACCGGGAGCAGAAUGCAAACACUUCAGCAGGUGGUUCUUUUUUCACUUAAAAGUUGGUUCCAGAUCUUCAGUGGUAUUUUGAGGAACCGUUGCCUGUUAAAACAUUGAAAGUUACAGCAGAUUUACAUACUUUAGCCUUUUUAUUUGGAUCUUUAGGAUUUCAUAUUUGUAAAUUUUCUUCUUCAAAUGUCUGAAGACAGUUUCUGAGCUUACAUGUUUACAGAAGAACUAAGACAGCUAGUAAUUUCUUAUCUGGGCAACCUUGAUCUGAAACUUGUACUGUUCCAUUUCAGUCCUCUCUUACAGCAAGAGUAACUCUUACUCCCACCUCAUACCUCCUAGAAGAACAUUCAGGGGUAUCUUAUUACCAUGUCCUAUGUAUGUCCCUAUUAGUGCAUUCAGGUUGUUUGUGGUAGGUUAUAAUAUAGAUUAAUUUAUUCGUGAAUUUUGCUGAUUCAGAAUUCAGAAGUGUCUAAUGAAAUUGAAAUGCUGGUAUAAAGAUUUGGAUUUGUCCCGUAACAAUAUUUAGAUGGAGUUUACAAGGACACAUUUCAGCUGCAACUUUAAGUAUUGGACACAUUGGAGCAUAUAUUUCUUUGUCUUUUAUCUACAUUGAGUGACUGAUACCUCAACAUUGCACAUUAGCUUAACUAGGGAAAGUACUGGGGAAAUCAUUGAAUAUCUUGGAUCUUUAUUUCCUCAAACUGCCCUUUGAACUGUUAUGAACCUGAGAUCCCAUUGAAUGAAAAGAGACUGUGGUACGGAGAGAGCAUUUAACUAGCUGGAAAAUAAUUCUUCUGCACAAGGCUCUAAAACUUUACUCCCUCACAAGUAUACAAGGCCCUAAAAUAGUCCAGAAUAUAUAUGUAUAAGAGAUUACUAGUCUGAAAAAAAAAACCACCUACUUUGUUCUGUCUAUUCUGCCUCCUUGGCUUGGCAAGUCUGACCUUUCAAGGAUCUGACCUCUGACUGGGGAUCCAAGUACCUCAGCAUCUAACCAUACCUCUUUAUAUUAAGACAAUAACAAGCGUUUAUGCUGACUUGAUCUAUAGGACAGAAGACAGGCAGCUCAGUGGUGUACAUUGACCAAGGAGGAAGGUUAUUAAGAUCUAUAGUGAGACCAAGUUUGAAUAAUUUGGUUCCUACAAUUCUGUGUAGAUUCAUGAAAUCUCGCCACUGGUAUUAGGAACACACCAUUGUAUCUGAAUUGUAACCUGCCCACACUUUGAAGGUAAAUUUUUGACCCUCUGUUACUUAUACUGUGUUUUAUAAAUGUUAGCUAAUUAAUUGUCAUGACAUCCCAGUGAGAGAUGGAUUAUUAUCCCCACUUUAUAGCUAGUGGAACGGAUACUAAGAAGUUCAAGACUUGUCUCACACCACACUUCAAGUCAGGAGCUGAACUAGAGUAAGAAUGCAGCCUGUGCUGCCUGCCUCCCUGACGAGCCGAAGGCUGAGAGCUAGCAAAGAAUUUCAUUUCAGCCGCAUCUGUUGUUUCUGAUGUACUGGGAAAAAAAGUCAGCGUUACUUGAGUCCCUCAGGAUACACCAAACAGCAGCACAGUACAAUAAGUAGAGGCACUGGGUGCAAACUGACUUUUGUGCUAACGAUACUCCUUCCCUUCUGCCACACAGUUGUAUGACUUGGCUUCCUGUUAUUCAAAAGGCAAAGGACCAUAAGCACAUGCUACCCCAGAUCCAAAAGUGCAUCAUUCCCAGGAGCAAACCAUGGUCAGCACUGGCAUGUGUCAUAUGUUCUGUCUGUCCAUUUUAGAUCACAUGGCUACCAACAACAUUGCCCUGGACAAUCCCCUGGCUGCUCAGAGUAGACACUCCUUGUCCUGCGCCGCAUUUGGCUGUCAGCGUUAUAGGUUCAUUUUUUAUUCAGACACAAGAUCCAUGUAAAAAGUGUCCAGUGUCUACUUAUCGAACCAGACAAUUAGAUGCAUGCCACAGCUCAAAGAAACACACACUAUUCUUUGCUGCUUCAGUACAUCUGGAGAACUUUGAACAGAGUUACCACGGGGUCUGGAUGUGUGGCUUUCACUUUGCUAAUCUCCUGCCUGACUCAUCCAGGAAGUGACAGCAUGUUACAGGGGCAACAAAUACGUCUUCAAGGGCUUGGUGCUUAUUUGUUCUGAUGCCAACAACUGGGCCAUGAAGUUGCAUUGGCUUUGGAAGCUAAAGAAAUGAGUGAGUUUCCCCUUUUUUGAAGUAUUUUUAAGGACAAGCCACCUCCUUCUUCCACAGUCCUGGAAUUUUGCCCUGAUAUCUGCCACAUUAUACACACACACUUAGGCCAGGAAGACAUUUUCUAACUGCCAAGAAAAACAAAUGAGGGAAAUGUCAACAGCUUGCAUCUAGCCUGUUACCUCAUCC
This is a long non-coding RNA of Chelonoidis abingdonii (Abingdon island giant tortoise), 2841 nucleotides long. RefSeq lists it as uncharacterized. The record is from RefSeq and is a predicted model, not a curated record. Lineage: Eukaryota; Metazoa; Chordata; Testudines; Testudinidae.